AUAAUGAUAAAAGGGCUUGAAACCCAUACUUCCCUACCGGCCGCCACUCUCUCUCUCUCUUCUCUUCUCUCUUUCUUUCACUGCCCUCUUUCUCACGGUUCAUCUGCAGCCACGAGAACCACCCGUAGCAGGCGGCCUAGCAGUAGCAACCAAUUGCGUUCCUUCCCUCCCCACCAGCUGCCGUCUGGUGCACAUGAACCCCAGCAGCCAGGCUGCGUUGUGCAACCAGUAGGCAGUAGCAAGUUGCUGCGUUGGGCCUUUCAACCACCACGACAACCUCGGUUCACCACCACCACAAACUUCACUUACCCUCUUCACCAUUUUUGCUAGUUUUAACUUUAAGCCAUGAGGAAAGAAAGACAAGAAGAGGAGGGAGACAAGGCUGCACAACCGUGAGGGUGGCUGUCGGCCAAAAAGAAUAAGGCAGAAGAGAGGAGGGAGGAAAGAACUCACCUCUUCAUAUCAAAAUCUUUUGGCCUAAAAAAGAGAAGGUACCGUAAAAGGCGGAAUCAGAUUCACAAUAAACGGUCAUCCUUACUUCAACCUGAUAUUAAUCAUCAACGUUGCAGCUCCAGGUGAUGUUCAUGCAGCUGGAAUCAAAGGCUCUAAAACUUAUUGGCAACAAUUGUCUAGAAACUGGGGUCAAAAUUGGCAAAGCAAUUCCAACCUCAAUGGACAGAGUUCACAGAGCCUCUCCUUUAAAGUCACUGCCAGUGACGGUGCGACCAAUGACGGCUGCACCGCCACUGCUCUUAACGUGGCUUCUCCUAAUUGGUUUUAUGAACAGACUUACACAAGUGGCCAAUUUUAAGGAAAUAUGAAUGUCACCUAAAUUUUAGUAAUAAUAAGUUAUUUUUUUUAUGGAAAUAUUACCUAAAAUAAUUCAAACUUUUUAUGAUUUUUCUACAGUAAUCUUAUUUAUUGAUUAACCAUAAAUAAUUCUAACUUUAGGGGUAUUUGCCUAGAGUUAACUUGGGUAUCCCGACCUGCUAUAGUAGGUAAUUCACUAAAAAACUAAAUUGAAAAUUAAUUUAAAAUUACAGAAAAUUUUUGAAAAUUUACAAUAAAAAUUCUAGAUGAUAAAAAAAUCAUAAACUUUUCAGAACAUUUUAAAUUUUUUUUUCGACAUUUUAGUUUAAUUUAUCUUUUUUUUAAAAGAAAUAAAGCUUACUAUCGCAAGUCAUCCAGUCACCGGGUUUACUCCAGUAUUAUACCGUUCAAAGUUGGGAUUAUUCAUGGUUAAUCAAUAGGUGAGAUUAUUGUAGGAAAAUCAUAAAUAGAUUGGAUUAUUCUAGAUAAUUUUUUCUUUUUUUUAUUACGUACAUAUUUGGAAAUUCUAAGUGGUGAUUCUGAGUUUUUGGCUUUUAUGUGUGGUAGAUAAACGUCUAUUUAUUCAUAUGGUGACCCUAACUUCUAAGUUUUCAACUUGGUAGACAAAACAUUAGGAUAUUCGUGAAAUUUACGUCAUUAAACCAUUAUAAUAACUUUUUUGCAUAAAAAUAAAUAUUUCGGUCUCCCUUAAGAGGCACAUUUUCAAAAAUGUGUUAAAAAUGAAUACUUAAUUUAAUGAUGAAAUAAACUUUUUGUCAACUACAUGAAAAAGCUGAAAGUUAUAAGUCAGUAUGGAUGUUCAAUAAUAUUUACUAUCCAUGUAAAAAGUUGGAAACGUCACGUUAUUGCAUGGAAAUUUUCCU
Molecule: long non-coding RNA, 1694 nt
Organism: Amaranthus tricolor (Joseph's coat)
Lineage: Eukaryota; Viridiplantae; Streptophyta; Magnoliopsida; Caryophyllales; Amaranthaceae
Exons: 3
Source: RefSeq, a predicted model, not a curated record